This 310-nucleotide ribosomal RNA is filed under the name uncultured eukaryote. RNAcentral's name for it is "partial 18S ribosomal RNA". It matches the Rfam family "Eukaryotic small subunit ribosomal RNA", at positions 1470 to 1796 of the family's 1831-position model. The record is from RNAcentral.
CCCUUAGAUGUUCUGGGCUGCACGCGUGCUACACUGAUUAUUUCAACAAGUGUUUUAACUGGAGAGUUCGCGUAAUCCUGAAAUGUUAUCGUGAUGGGAGUAGAGUAUUGUAUUUGUUAAUCUUUAACGAGGAAUUCCUAGUAAGUGUAGGUUUAUAAGUUGUUCUGAUUACGUCCCUGCCCUUUGUACACACCGCCCGUCGCUCCUACCGAUUGAUUGAUCCGGUGAAUUACAUAGAAUUUUGCGUUUUACAUGACGGAAGAUGAAGUGUUUUAAACCUUAUCAUUUAGAGGAAGGAGAAGUCGUAACA